UUGUUAUUUCCCAUCUUCUUUGCAUGAAAAAUUGUGUGGAGUGUUGCUCAUGAGAUCAUAUGUUGCUUAUUGUGGAGUGAGAGGAUUGAAAAUGAUGUGAAAACAGGGGAUGGAAUGAGUUUAUGAACCAGAGUUUGCUGGAAAUUUUACCAGCAACUUUAUCUUGAUUUUGACCCCAUUUAAUGAUGGAACUAGGAAUUGUCAUAGAAGAGUUAUUUGUUCCUCUAUGUGUUAUCUUUACGUGGGCUUUUGAAUCACUCAAUUUGAAGUUGUAUAUUGAGAGUUAUGGCCAAAAGA
This 297-nucleotide long non-coding RNA is filed under the name Jatropha curcas. Its description in RNAcentral is "long non-coding RNA (JCUR_LNC003144)". The record is from RNAcentral. Lineage: Eukaryota; Viridiplantae; Streptophyta; Magnoliopsida; Malpighiales; Euphorbiaceae.